UUUUUUUUUCAAUAAAUAAAGUACUAUAAAUGCUCUUCCUUAAGAUUUUCUUAAAAACGUUUUCCUUUCUUUGGCUUACUUUAUUGUAAGAAUACAGCAUAUAAUGCAUAGAACAUACAAAAUAUAUGUUGACUGUAUGUUAUCAGUAAGGCUUCCAGUCAACAGUAGGUCAUUAGUUUAGUGUGGGGGAGGUCAAAACUUUACGUGGAUUUUUGACUGUGGGGGGGGGGUCGGCACUCUUACCCUUAGAUUAAUCAAAGGCCAACUGUACAUUUAUCAACUUCCAUAAAUUUAACAUUGAUACUGAUUUGCCAUUUGUCUUCUAAUUCAGUUAAGUUAUACAAUAAUAUCUUUGCUAUCACUUUGCCCUUCCAGUACAGGAACCAGUCUGGGGUCAGGUAUUAAAUUCAGCUGUCAUGUCUCUUUAAUUGCUUUUAAUCUGGAACAUUGCCACAGCCUUUCUUUGCAUUUAAUGACUUUGACAUUUUUGCCUAAAAUACUAACAGUCUCUCCCCUUUAAAAAGAAAAAAAAAAAAAAGAAUGUUCCUUUUCUGAAUUUGUCUGAAGUUUCCUCAGGGUUAAAUCCCAGUUAUGCUUUCCUAGAUGGCAAACCACAUUCAUGAUGUUGUGUUCUCAGUGGAUCCCAUCUGGAAGCACAUGCUGGCCAUCUGUCUCUCGUCACUGAUGUGAAUUUUGAUCACUCAGUGAAGGAAGAUGUCAUCCAGUCUCUGUACCCCAUAGUUACCAUUUUCCCCUUUGUAACUAAGUGAGCAGUCUUAGGGGAAACACUUCAAGACCAUGCAAGGAUCUUUUUAACAUUUCCCAGCUAUUAGAAAUGACAAAUACCCACCAUUUGCUUCAACGUGGAUGGAACUGGAGGGUAAUAUGCUGAGUGAAGUAAGUCAGUCGGAGAAGGACAAACAUUAUAUGUUCUCAUUCAUUUGGGGAAUAUAAAUAAUAGUGAAAGGGAAUAUAAGGGAAGGGAGAAGAAAUGUGUGGGAAAUAUCAGAAAGGGAGACAGAAGGUAAAGACUGCUAACUCUGGGAAACGAACUAGGGGUGGUAGAAGGGGAGGAGGGCGGGGGGUGGGAGUGAAUGGGUGACGGGCACUGGGGGUUAUUCUGUAUGUUAGUAAAUUGAACACCAAUAAAAAAUAAAAAAAAAUAAAAAUAAAACAUUUCCCCCUUUAUUUAGCAUCUGAUAGUCAUUUUUGCCUGAAUCAGUCUAUAGUAUGAUGCUUGCAAAAUGAUUUUUUCCAACUCUGGCCUUCCUUCCACAUUUACCAUCAACACUCAAUGUGGUCCUGUGAGCAAGAGCUUCUCCCUUUCUGCCCACUUACUUAUCAGUAUGGACUCAUAGAUUCCUACAUUGUUCACUGUUUUCAAACUCAUCACUGUCCUUAUUUUGGUGCUCAAACUUACCCUAUUUUGCUAGUGGGAGCCUCUUUGGGUUAGCCCCUGUGUCCUUGAAAUGGGAUCUACCAGGUUCCUUUUUUAGCAUUAUUUUACUUUCUGGCACAAGAAGAUGUUCCGGCCUCAUCUUGUACCUUCCCUGCUUCAGCUAUAGAAUCAGCCAUUUUGCCAAGGAGCUCCGGUUCUUUUCAGCACAGAGUUUAAGUGUUUAGAAACCAAGUUCUGGGUACUAAUUGUAUUUCUUGCUAUGAGGGUGUCACUGCUCCUAGGAAGUGUAAAUAUAUAUAUAUAUAUAUAUAUAUAUAUAGUAUAACAUAUAUAAAUAUAUACUAAUAACUAUAAAUAUAUUUAUACACACACACAAAAGCUAUCCGAAUUAGCAGAUAAAAAUUCUGGAUACCCAGUUAUAUUUGAAUUUCAGAUAAACAUUGAAAAACUUAGUAGAAAUAUAUCCCAUGCAAUAUAUGAGACAUGAUCUGUACCAAAACAUUAUUAACAUUAUUUGUUGCACAGCUGAAAUUCAAUUUUUAAAAGUAAGCUCUAUACUCAACAUGGGGUUUGAACUUAAGACCCCAAGAUCAAGAGUUGCUUGCUCUACUGACUAAGCCAGCCAGGUGCCCCAGCUGAAAUUCAAACUUAACUGAGCAUCUUGUAUUUUAUCUGGCAAUCCUAAUACAUACAAACAUAUAAAGUACAUACAUAUAAAUGUACACAUACACAUGCAGAGACACACAUAUAUACACAUGUUUUAGAGAUCAUGAGCUCACAUAGAUAUGUAAGCUGAUUC
RNAcentral lists this long non-coding RNA (2198 nucleotides) under Canis lupus familiaris (dog). Its description in RNAcentral is "lncRNA (ENSCAFG00845029320.1)". Lineage: Eukaryota; Metazoa; Chordata; Mammalia; Carnivora; Canidae. The record is from RNAcentral.